CUUAAAGGAAUUGACGGGGACCCGCACAAGCGGUGGAUGAUGUGGUUUAAUUCGAUGCAACGCGAAAAACCUUACCUACCCUUGACAUGGCAGGAAUCCUGGAGAGAUCUGGGAGUGCUCGAAAGAGAACCUGCACACAGGUGCUGCAUGGCCGUCGUCAGCUCGUGUCGUGAGAUGUUGGGUUAAGUCCCGCAACGAGCGCAACCCUUGUCAUCAGUUGCUACGAAAGGGCACUCUGAUGAGACUGCCGGUGACAAACCGGAGGAAGGUGGGGAUGACGUCAGGUCCUCAUGGCCCUUAUGGGUAGGGCUACACACGUCAUACAAUGGCCGGUACAGAGGGCUGCCAACCCGCGAGGGGGAGCCAAUCCCAGAAAACCGGUCGUAGUCCGGAUCGCAGUCUGCAACUCGACUGCGUGAAGUCGGAAUCGCUAGUAAUCGCGGAUCAGCUUGCCGCGGUGAAUACGUUCCCGGGUCUUGUACACACCGCCCGUCACACCAUGGAG
Molecule: ribosomal RNA, 505 nt
Filed under: uncultured beta proteobacterium Kmlps3-6
Lineage: Bacteria; Pseudomonadati; Pseudomonadota; Betaproteobacteria
Description: bacterial SSU rRNA
Rfam family: Bacterial small subunit ribosomal RNA
Source: RNAcentral